GUGACGCGGGCUGGUUUCACCUGGCGCGUGCACGUCGGCAGGUCUCCUCACUUCCUGUUCAGACCACGACGCUUCCAACGUGCGCUAUUUCUGAGACACGUUACGACACCCAGUUAUAAUGAAAUGCACUUGAGAUGUGAGACUUUUAGAUUUGAUUCCAGAGGUUUGACAAAAAUGUGACAUAAACCACAAACUAUGAAGAAAUAGUCGUCAUGAAACCACCUGUGGUGGUUCCGAGGGGCUGCAGCAUCUCCAUCUGUGAGCGUCUGUGCGAGGAUGGCAGAUAAAGAACCUGCAGCAUGCACUCUGCUUACCUGGCUCUUGUUUUCAGCCCGGAGUGACUCCACAAGAUCUUUUACACUGAAUGGUUUGCCAACCAGCACCGUAAUCCUCUGACAAAAAUAAAAAAGCUGUGAUGAGCAGAAUGUGGUAGAACAGCAUUUAAGAGUUUGAUUCCACUAGGAGGAUCCCCCACCUUGCCAGUCCGCGGAACGUAGGGCGCUACAUUUGGUAGAACGUCGCUCAGACCUGACACAAAAACAUUCAUUGGUUUUAGUAACUGCUGUGACUCUUGUUCAUAGUCUCCUCCUUCAUUUUCCCUAUGAUCCAUUAAACCAAUAAGCAGACAGUCUACGAUGGUGGUGCAUACUCACCAACAUGCCACAUCGGCAGGAUCACCGGAUUCAGGUGGCACUCUGCUACAAGGCGGCCAACUCCUAAUGCACACAUUGGAAAUGUUCCUUAACAGCAGUUUGCACCGAACAGGGACAAAUCAAGGCACUGAAAAGACUGUUUUACUGACCCCAUUUCAGCCGUAUGAAUUCUUCACUCAUAUUAACUUUGCCUGUUAAAUUAAGAAGCAGAUCUUUCUUAGUCCCACAGUAAUAAGGCAGGAGGUUAAAGAGAUUGUGAGCACAUACCCUCUGGAAAUAUGUGCACCCAUUCUCCUCUAUUCAGUUUCUCCAGAAUGAAAUCCAUUCCUUUCUGGUAGACACCAUCACCUGAGGAACAAUCAGCCGGAUCAACAGGCAGCUAGACCAAGCUGGAGGAACGAUGCUAAAGACACCCACCUCU
This is a long non-coding RNA of Betta splendens (Siamese fighting fish), 1074 nucleotides long. RefSeq lists it as uncharacterized. The record is from RefSeq and is a predicted model, not a curated record. The transcript has 3 exons. NCBI's taxonomy places the organism in Eukaryota, Metazoa, Chordata, Actinopteri, Anabantiformes, Osphronemidae.